Molecule: ribosomal RNA, 465 nt
Filed under: Vreelandella stevensii
Lineage: Bacteria; Pseudomonadati; Pseudomonadota; Gammaproteobacteria; Oceanospirillales; Halomonadaceae
Description: partial 16S ribosomal RNA
Rfam family: Bacterial small subunit ribosomal RNA
Source: RNAcentral
CCUACGGGUGGCAGCAGUGGGGAAUAUUGGACAAUGGGCGAAAGCCUGAUCCAGCCAUGCCGCGUGUGUGAAGAAGGCCUUCGGGUUGUAAAGCACUUUCAGUGGGGAAGAAAGCCUUGGGGCUAAUACCCUCGAGGAAGGACAUCACCCACAGAAGAAGCACCGGCUAACUCCGUGCCAGCAGCCGCGGUAAUACGGAGGGUGCGAGCGUUAAUCGGAAUUACUGGGCGUAAAGCGCGCGUAGGCGGUCUGAUAAGCCGGUUGUGAAAGCCCCGGGCUCAACCUGGGAACGGCAUCCGGAACUGUCAGGCUAGAGUGCAGGAGAGGAAGGUAGAAUUCCCGGUGUAGCGGUGAAAUGCGUAGAUAUCGGGAGGAAGACCAGUGGCGAAGGCGGCCUUCUGGACCGACACUGACGCUGAGGUGCGAAAGCGUGGGUAGCAAACAGGAUUAGAUACCCCAGUAGUC